UUAAGCUCACCACCACAUGUUUUAUGUCUUUCAUAAUCAAGAAGUGCCUUCUCAUAAAACCCUCGAAAUGUCCAUGAAACAGUAGUACAUGUCUUUGGGGGUUUAAAGGAUUCUCCCACUUGCCGCCACAACUUACAUGAAGUCACCUUAUCAUAGCCACCCAAUCUCAUAACAGCUCUCCACAACUUCAGACAAUUUAAUCCCUCUCCGUAGAACUUAGGAGGCUUGAACUCCAUGCUCCUCUCCCUAAAGAAAUUUUCAAGCUCCUUCAUAAAUG
RNAcentral lists this unclassified non-coding RNA (277 nucleotides) under Hevea brasiliensis (rubber tree). The record is from RNAcentral. Lineage: Eukaryota; Viridiplantae; Streptophyta; Magnoliopsida; Malpighiales; Euphorbiaceae.